CUGGCAGCAGCCAGCCAACUGGAGAGCCAGCGACCGGGGUGGGGGCAGGCAGAGCGUCGUCGCUGCUGGUGGGCAGGUCGGAGCUUCCUUAGCACGUGGUGGUAGGGGCAAGGCCUAAAGGAGAGACUCUCUCCGCUGCCAAACGAACCGAGCCGGCUCACACCGCCAGGGGAAGGAUGGGUCUGCUUUUGGAAGUCAGUGUAACAUCAUCAGUCCCUCUUGGCGGUUGCGGGUUUUCAGAGAAUGGAGAUGGGAGAAUAAAGGACAGCAGGAGCAAGGAACAAUAGCCUUGGGAGAAUGUUAGGCACUUAAACCUCAUGCGCUGUGACACAGAAGCCCUACCCAGACCCUUAGAUGUCUGAGAUUUCACAACUACUACCCUCAUGCUCUCAAGCUUUUUUGCUGCAAGAACUAGAAAUCUGCAUGUUUGAAAGAACAACAUUGAGGCCAGUUUGUCCUGAGCUAGGUGCCCCUGACAGCCACCUAAUGGUGCAACAGGGAAAUGACUUGAUUAGCAAGCCAGAGGGUGCCGGUUUGAAUCCCCGCUGGUAUGUAUUCCAGACUAUGGUAAACAGCUGUAUCGGGCAGCAGCGAUAUUAUAGGAAGAUGCUGAAAGGCAUCAUCUCAUACAGCACAGGAGAUGGCAAUGGUAAACCCCUCCUGUAUUCUACCAAAGACAACCACAGGGCUCUGUGGUCGCCAGGAGUUGGCAUCGACUCGGUGGCACACUUUACCUUUACCUUAAGUGCCCCUGAGGCUGAAGCUGUAGCAGAGUGUAACAGAGCGGAAACUGAGACUUGUUACAUUUAUUGAACAAAGUUACUAAGGUUUAUUACUUAACGAUUACCAAAUCAUAGACAACAAUCCUACUUUGUGUGAAAGAUCAUCUUAAUAGAAAACCAACAGUCUCAAGAGUCCAAAAAGAAAUACAAACUGACCCAUCAGUCUACUGAACGGAUUGACACAAACAUUCUAAACUCUACCCCAAGCCUAUACACAGCUAUACAUACAGUUCAUCAGUGGCAGGAACAAAGGCAAUGUAUAUACUCCUACAUCUCAACAGAAGCCAGGCUGAGGUGAGGUUGAUGCCAGACUGAGGCGAGGCAAGUUUGAUGCCAGGCCAGGUGAUGAUGCCAGGCCCUGGAGAGAGAUCUCAGGGUCCAAGUUGACUCACCACCAUUGGAAGGCAGACUAAGCCCUUAAGCCUUCAUGGAAAGCUGCAAGUAAAGUGCUUGAAAACAGAAGAGCUGGAUCAAACCAAGAGUUCAAGUGGGACGGUUGUUUUACUUUCCUUCUUCCCAAAGUUGAUUGGAUCAGUUGAACUUUGGAUUUUUUUUAAAGACAAAGGGGUUGUGUGUGUGGGAAGGACAUGUGUGAGAACUGUACAGUUAAAUGUUUCUGUUUAUUUAUAUUUGCAUAAAUAUAUUUAUCACUUGUUUUACUUUUAAUGUUCUCUUACAAAUUCCUUUGGUGUUUGGGGCCUUCAGAACCCACAUGCUACACCUAUGCAACAGCUUUGCUCCAGUGCAACAUCGUUCGGCACGUGCUUCUUUAAUCGGAACGUCAGCCAAUGAGUGCAAAUCUAUGCUGAUGAAAAGAGUUGAAGCAGUCAAACCUAUUCUAAAAUAAAUUUCCAGCUAUGUUAAAAAUUAACAUUGUUAAAACAACAGCUUAGAAAUACUGAGCAUUUGAAAACAUUCUAAUGUUAUUUUACAGUUUAACAGACUAAAAGAAAAUCAGUUUGUCAACCAUUCUGUAACUUUUUGGAGGAGUUUUUAGGAGAAAUUUGCCUUGGAAGAAAAGAUAUACGAUAUCAGUUCUACUAAUUCAUUCAUUUUUCAUGUUGACUGGAUUGAAAAAUGUUCAGCAUGUACACCAAUAAGAACCCCGUGGACACAAUCCAGCUUUGGACUGGAUUGUGUCACAUUGGACUGUGUUACAGUUAGUCACAUUGUCAAGCCCAAAAGUACCCCGGGCUGUGAGAAGGGCUUUCAUGCCCAGAACAGACAGGCCUCAGAGUUUCUUAGCACAGGUAGAGAGCUGAUUGCAUUAAGGUGCCUGUCAGUGCUCCUUAAUCCACUGAAUCAUCAGGCACUCACCAGCCAGC
Hemicordylus capensis (graceful crag lizard) is the source of this 2107-nucleotide long non-coding RNA. RefSeq lists it as uncharacterized. The record is from RefSeq and is a predicted model, not a curated record. The transcript has 3 exons. Lineage: Eukaryota; Metazoa; Chordata; Lepidosauria; Squamata; Cordylidae.